GCAGUUGCAGCCGGAAAGGAGCAGUAAUUAUAGCUCUUCUGAAAUUCUUUGUUCCGGAGAUCUUUGUCUUUCUUGGCUUCGGCGUCUCUUCUUGGCAGGAAUGUUAGAGUGCUGACUUUCAACGGACAUUGCAUUCCUGAGAUGAUUUACAGCCAGAGACCUGCGGAAGAAGAUUACCACGGGAAGCCGAGAAGGAGCUGGUAUUGGACCAGAC
Molecule: long non-coding RNA, 214 nt
Organism: Ahaetulla prasina
Lineage: Eukaryota; Metazoa; Chordata; Lepidosauria; Squamata; Colubridae
Exons: 3
Source: RefSeq, a predicted model, not a curated record